AAUAAUAAUAAUAAUAAUUUAACACUUUCCAAUUCACUCCGUCAUCAACAAUCAUCAUCAUCAUUGGGUGGUGGUGAUAGAACUAUUAAUAAUAGUAACAGUGGGAGUUUUGUGAAUUAAUAAUCAAGAAUGUUUGCAUGCUCUAGCUUAAUCCCAAAGAUUUCUGGAUAAAGGACCUUUUGUGUCACUAUGAUGGCAAGGGCUUAAAGGAUGAUUUGGAUUACAGGAGGACUGAAGCUGUUUAGACUGAAGACUCAAGGACUGAAGAAGAAAUAUGAAGUCUGGGUAGCUUUGGAAAGAAGAAAGAAGAUGAGGGGCUAAUUGUAAACAUGCUACCUAUAUAAUCUCGUUACCGUAGUCUAGGAUUCCUUAACAUUCCCUAGCCAUUUUUUCCUUUCUUGAUAUUACCGUUGUCAGUCAAAAUCAUCUUAGAUGUAAUCGUUUGUUUCUUUAAUCGUUGGUUAGGGUUUGUUCAAGAAAACUAUUUUAUGUAGUAAACUAUUUUUUCUGUUUUACUUAUAAGAUAAUCAUAUGGAUA
This is a long non-coding RNA of Erigeron canadensis, 538 nucleotides long. RefSeq lists it as uncharacterized. The record is from RefSeq and is a predicted model, not a curated record. NCBI's taxonomy places the organism in Eukaryota, Viridiplantae, Streptophyta, Magnoliopsida, Asterales, Asteraceae. The transcript is spliced from 2 exons.